Molecule: transfer RNA, 74 nt
Filed under: Heloderma horridum (Mexican beaded lizard)
Lineage: Eukaryota; Metazoa; Chordata; Lepidosauria; Squamata; Helodermatidae
Description: tRNA-Leu
Rfam family: tRNA
About the family: Transfer RNA (tRNA) molecules are approximately 80 nucleotides in length. Their secondary structure includes four short double-helical elements and three loops (D, anti-codon, and T loops).
Source: RNAcentral
GUUAGGAUGGCAAAGCCUGGCACAUGCGAAAGACCUAAAACCUUUCUACAGAAGUUCAAAUCCUCUUCCUAAUA